Small nuclear RNA from Suncus etruscus (white-toothed pygmy shrew), 113 nucleotides. RefSeq annotates it as U5 spliceosomal RNA. The record is from RefSeq and is a predicted model, not a curated record. Lineage: Eukaryota; Metazoa; Chordata; Mammalia; Eulipotyphla; Soricidae. The transcript has a single exon.
AAAAUCCGGUUUCUCUUCAAAUCGCAUAAAUCUUUUGCCUUUUAUGAAAGAUUUUCAUGGAGGAAAUAUCUGAGUCUUAAACCAAUUUUUUGAGGCCUUGUCUUGACAAGGCU